GGGGACGUAGUUAAGAUGGUGAUAACGCCGGCCUGUCACGCCGGAGGCCGCGAGUUCAAGUCUCGUCGUCCCCGCCA
RNAcentral lists this transfer RNA (77 nucleotides) under Anaerolinea sp. RNAcentral describes it as "tRNA-Asp". It matches the Rfam family "tRNA". From Rfam's summary of the family: Transfer RNA (tRNA) molecules are approximately 80 nucleotides in length. Their secondary structure includes four short double-helical elements and three loops (D, anti-codon, and T loops). RNAcentral also lists the same sequence under 3 other names. Lineage: Bacteria; Bacillati; Chloroflexota; Anaerolineae; Anaerolineales; Anaerolineaceae. The record is from RNAcentral.